UCACCAUUACUUAUCAUGGCAGGUGGAUACUCUCUUAUCGUAGCGAUAAAGGAACGCAGAGUUAGAACUGUGGACUGUCUGUAUAUAAGACAACACACACACACGUCUCAGAUCACUCAUCCACAGGCAUCUACAGGUGAACGAGUUCCACAGGUGACUGCUGAGGAGACCAGACAUCACAUCAUGAAGUGGGCUAUCGUUCUGUGUGCCGUGGUGGCACUCUCCGAAUGCAUCAUCCAGGUGCCGCUGAUCAAGGGGAAGAGUGCCAGGGAGAGCCUGGAGGAGCAGGGUCUGUGGAAUGAGUACAGAGGGAAGUUCCCUUUCAACCCCACCAGGUUUGACGACCAGAGCCUAUAUGUCUCCAGCGAGCAGAUGACCAACGACGCUGAUUUGGCGUACUUUGGAGUGAUCUCCAUUGGAACUCCACCUCAGUCCUUCACUGUCAUCUUUGACACUGGAUCAUCCAACCUGUGGAUUCCCUCCGUCUACUGCAGCAGCGCAGCUUGCGCCAACCACAACAGGUUCAACCCCGGUUUGUCCUCUACCUUCAAGAAUGCUGGGAAGAGCCUGUCCAUCCAAUACGGUACUGGCAGUAUGACUGGCUUCGAGGGCUUUGACACCGUUGUGGUGGGUGGGAUCCCUGUGAAGAACCAGAUCUUUGGGCUGAGUCAAUCGGAGGCUCCCUUCAUGGCUCAUAUGAAGGCUGAUGGUAUCCUGUCUGGCUUACCCCCGCCUGGCUUACCCCCGCCUGGCUGCCUCUCAGGCCACACCAGUCUUUGACAACAUGAUGACCCAGCAUCUGGUCAACCAGGACAUGUUCUCUGUCUACCUGACUCGUAACUCUGCGGUAGGUAGCAUGGUGACCUUCGGAGGCGUUGACACCAACCACUACUACGGCCAGAUCGCAUGGAUCCCCCUGUCCUCUGAGAUGUACUGGCAGAUCACAGUCGACAGUGUGACUGUGAACGGCCAGAUUGUGGCCUGUAACGGCGGCUGCCAGGCUAUCGUGGACACCGGUACCUCUAAUAUUGUGGGACCUCAGGCCGACAUCUCCAGCAUGGCCCGUGCUGUGGGAGCCUACUCCGCCAACGGUGACAAUGUGGUGAACUGUAACAACAUCAACAACAUGCCAUCGAUGGUCUUCCACAUCCACGGACAGGCCUUCACUCUCCCAGCCUCCACCUACGUCCGCCAGUCUACCUACUAUGGCUGCCGUACCGGUCUCUCGUCUAGUAGCUCCGACCUGUGGAUUCUGGGUGACAUCUUCAUCCGACAGUACUAUUCCAUCUUCAGCAGAGCCCAGAACAUGGUGGGUCUGGCCCUGGCUAGAUAAUCCAACACAGAUCAACAAUGGAUCCCGUAACGCCAUAUGAACAACCAAAUGAGGGUGUCUCUCCAGUGCAAUCGUAUCUAUUCUAAAGCUAAUUUGAGUAGUUUGUGAUAGGAAGAGAUACUGCUCUAUGUCUAGAAUUGUUAUUAGUUCAUUCAAAAUAUUAAAAAGGUUUUGGCAUGAUAAA
Molecule: non-coding RNA, 1517 nt
Organism: Oncorhynchus mykiss (rainbow trout)
Lineage: Eukaryota; Metazoa; Chordata; Actinopteri; Salmoniformes; Salmonidae
Source: RefSeq, a predicted model, not a curated record